CUGUUGUUUCCUUUACUUGGGAAGACCGGAAACGGUUUUAUUUCCCACCGUUGUGCUUUAAACGACUUCGAAGUUCAGAAAACAAAGUCCAAAACGACAGAGAUCCAAACGCUGUUCCCAAAAGCUUUAUCUUCAAAUUCUCUACGCGAUUUCUCUCUUCGCCGCUAAGCUUCAGUAUUUGAUGUCGCCGGAGUCAAAGUCUCGAGCUUUUAUAUGUCAAGCCAAAAGGUGAUGCUUGACAGCAGGUUGAAAAUGAAAGUUGAAACCCCAUUUGAAGAGUACCCAUCCUACACUCGUGUACAACUGUCAUGAUCAUGAGGGAUACAAAAAUCGGAGAAGACGAAGGAGAAUUGGGGAAAUUGGAAAUAGGGUUAGGGAUUUCAAAUGAGGAGAUUGGUACUGCCAGCAGUGAAGGGAGUCAUGUCAAUAGCACCCAACAACACCUGCAAGGGAAUCAAAAUGUUAGAUACAACUGUAUUGCCAACUGGUAAAUGGGAUAGGGUUGGUACAAUGUAAAGAUAUAAAGCAAUGUACU
Hibiscus syriacus is the source of this 535-nucleotide long non-coding RNA. RefSeq lists it as uncharacterized. Lineage: Eukaryota; Viridiplantae; Streptophyta; Magnoliopsida; Malvales; Malvaceae. The transcript is spliced from 3 exons. The record is from RefSeq and is a predicted model, not a curated record.